AGUGAACGCUGGCGGUAGGCCUAACACAUGCAAGUCGAACGGCAGCACAGUAAGAGCUUGCUCUUACGGGUGGCGAGUGGCGGACGGGUGAGGAAUACAUCGGAAUCUACUUUUUCGUGGGGGAUAACGUAGGGAAACUUACGCUAAUACCGCAUACGACCUACGGGUGGAAGCAGGGGAUCUUCGGACCUUGCGCGAUUGAAUGAGCCGAUGUCGGAUUAGCUAGUUGGCGGGGUAAAGGCCCACCAAGGCGACGAUCCGUAGCUGGUCUGAGAGGAUGAUCAGCCACACUGGAACUGAGACACGGUCCAGACUCCUACGGGAGGCAGCAGUGGGGAAUAUUGGACAAUGGGCGCAAGCCUGAUCCAGCCAUACCGCGUGGGUGAAGAAGGCCUUCGGGUUGUAAAGCCCUUUUGUUGGGAAAGAAAAGCAGCAGGUUAAUACCCCACUGUUCUGACGGUACCCAAAGAAUAAGCACCGGCUAACUUCGUG
Molecule: ribosomal RNA, 492 nt
Filed under: uncultured bacterium
Lineage: Bacteria
Description: partial 16S ribosomal RNA
Rfam family: Bacterial small subunit ribosomal RNA
Source: RNAcentral